CUCAGCCAGAGACCAACAUGUAGGCAAAUCAGCAAGCAAGCAAGAGUUGUCUCUCCUUCUUGGCCUGGUAAGGCUGGGGACUCUUCAGAGCCAGGCUCACCAUUCUGCCUGGCCUCAGUGGACCCACUUCACCCCCAGAGUCUGCAUUCUUUACCAUUAUUUAAACCUCUGGUGGAGAACUUGCUGAACUUGUGCUCCUGUCAUACCUGGACCCCCAAAUGUCCCAAAUCCUUGGACACCUAAGAGGACUCAUCCUGCUUACCCUCCUUCCUCUAGCAUCUAGAGAUGCUAAGACACUUGUCCAUAUUCACCCAGCCAAGCAGAGGGGAAGCAAGGAUUCAACCUUGCCUCCUGGUCUCCAAGCUCCUUUUUUAAAAAAAUACUUUUAUUUAAUUUAUUUAUUUUUAUGUGGUGCUGAGGAUUGAACCCAGUGCUUCAUGCAUGCUAGGCAAGCGUGCUACCACUGAGAGCUACAGCCCCAGCCCAUCAGCUCCUUUUUAUAGAUGUGAACUCUGAGCUUCCCUGAGAGUCACAGAGAGAUCAC
This 544-nucleotide long non-coding RNA is filed under the name Marmota monax (woodchuck). The record is from RNAcentral. Lineage: Eukaryota; Metazoa; Chordata; Mammalia; Rodentia; Sciuridae.